Non-coding RNA from Rhinichthys klamathensis goyatoka, 546 nucleotides. NCBI's taxonomy places the organism in Eukaryota, Metazoa, Chordata, Actinopteri, Cypriniformes, Leuciscidae. The record is from the annotation of a RefSeq genome assembly.
AUGCCACCUCUGAAAUGCGAAAAUUCACAGCAUCUCAGUUUUGAAAUGUUUUACAGUGCCAUUGCUGGACUAAUGUGUUCACAUUAUCUUUCAGAUUGAGCUUUUCUCCUGCUACAGAGUGUCAACAUGAGAUUUGUCAUUAUAGUUACUGUCGUAUUGAUCACUUUCUCAGGAUUUUCUCAUAGUAACAAAGUCGACCAGUCUCCACCUGAUGUGAUUCAGAGACCAGGAAAAUCUGCAAAGAUCCGGUGUCAACACAGUGUGAACAAUUACAAUCAAAUCAACUGGUACAGACACAUCCAGGGCCAAGAGUUCACAUUCAUGGGAUACUUGCUUCUAAAAGGACCAAACUCAGAAAAAGAGUUCACUAAAAAAAUAGAAAUGUCUGGGGAUGGACAGAACGAUGGAUCAUUGACCAUUACAAGUCUCUCGUCUAAUGACAGCGCAGUGUAUUUCUGUGCUGCAUAUUACACCGUGUUUCAGAUCCCUGCAGUUCAUUACAAAAACAUCUCUAUGAUUCUGCUAUUAGGAAAGCGAAAAACAUGA